RNAcentral lists this ribosomal RNA (467 nucleotides) under uncultured bacterium. RNAcentral's name for it is "partial 16S ribosomal RNA". It matches the Rfam family "Bacterial small subunit ribosomal RNA", at positions 28 to 507 of the family's 1533-position model. The record is from RNAcentral.
GACGAACGCUGGCGGCGUGCUUAACACAUGCAAGUCGAACGGAAAGGCCUCUUUCGGGGGGUACUCGAGUGGCGAACGGGUGAGUAACACGUGAGUAACCUGCCCUUGACUUUGGGAUAACUUCCGGCAACUGGGGCUAAUACCGGCUAGGAGCUCCUGCUGCAUGGUGGGGGUUGGAAAGUUUCGGCGUUUGGGGAUGGACUCGCGGCUUAUCAGCUUGUUGGUGGGGUAGUGGAUUACCAAGGCUUUGACGGGUAGCCGGACUGAGAGGGUGACCGGCCACAUUGGGACUGAGAGGAGGCCCAGACACCUAAGGGAGGGAGAAGUGGGGAAGAUUGAACAAUGGGUGGAAGCCGGAUGCAGCAACGCCGUGGGCGGGAUGACGGUCUUCGGGUGGUAAACCGCAUUCGCACAUGACGAAGCUUUGUGUGACGGUAGUGGGUAAAGAAGCACCGGCUAACUACGUG